CUAUUUCAUUCUUCAACGCGCGCGAGCGAAGUCGCGCCGCAGGAGAAUCACGGCAACAUGUCAACAUGCUCAAACCGAUGACACAGAACGCCAUGCGUGACCCGUGCUAACCAGCAUUUCGCUACAAGGGCAAGCGCUUCCGGUACACAAGUUUCUGUUCCCGACUUCUCACAAUUCAAUUGUCACAUUUCAGUUGGUGGCCGUCCGCGCGGCGUGCGCAUUUCAUCGUGACCUUCAUGCGCUUCACACUUAUCGGUGCAGACCUCGGCGACUACACUUGUCGGUGCAGACCUCGGCGACUACGACUCGGCAUUAAGCUGAGAUAGUGGGCGCAGAAGUGCAUCUCCGCCAUGCCGGUUCGCCAACGAAUCGACAAACACGUGAGAUCCCGUCCGUGAAGCUCCGAUGUAUCUCACCCGUUUGGAGAGACUCCUGUGAGACUCAGUCAGAAAACCGGUGUGUGUAUGAGUAUUGAGUGAGUGUGUCUGUUUACACAUAGGCCAACAUUAGACUGUAUGUACAUAUACACUGAUUUGCAUCUACAACGACCUCCACUAUACAUUCUUCUGUACGAAGGUAUUCUGGAUUUCAACCAGGUUGCUUGGCACACUUUUACGCCGAUAACUUAUAAAAUGAUAAGUCAUCACCUUUAACUUUGGAGCUAAAGGUACCAUUGAUUUAAUCGUCGUAUGGUAUGGAUAACAUAGUCAUCAAAUUCACGUCUAAGGUAUUCUGGAUUUCAACCAGGUUGGAAUUCCUAAAGCGAUACCUUAUAAGGUAUCGCUUUAGGUUAACGAUGAUAAGUCUGAGUUUAACGUUGGAACGUGAAUUUGAUGUAGCGCUAGACCAUCGUUCUUGAUUUAAUUGUGUCAAAAAUGUCGACAACUAUAUGUAGCGCUAGACCUACGUUCUUGAUUUAAUGGUGUCAAAAAUGUCAACAAUAUAUGGGACGAAUAGACCUUCGACCUUGAUAAACGAUACCAGGUGAUUGUUACAUUUUGGUAAGUUGGGGUCGUGUAAAGAUCGGCUAGCCGAAUACCGUAUGGGAGGAUUAACUCAAGAAUGACGAGUUAUCUGGAAAUUUUCGUUUUGAUCGAUUUUCACUCUCAAGACGCUAUUUUCCCAUUCAACCGCGCGGCGCCGUACGGCAUGACGAGCGCGGUUCCGAGGGAGCAAAGCCGAACGAGCCCGAGGAGCGCGGAGCGUCCCCUCGCUCUCGAUCCUCGCCCGCACUCCUCCGCUGCCGCGCGAGCGAGUCUGAGGUUUCUGGUGCGCUCCGCGACGGAGCGAAGGACCUCGCGAGGCGAAAUUUCCUUUCAACUCCCUUUCAAACGCUACCCGAUCAAAAAUUUCGGGAGCAACCGGGCGGACAAAUCUGAAAAUUUUCCCCUCCGGGGUGUCCACACCUGCCUGAAAUCCAGAAUACCUUCGAAGGUACGAAGGUAUAGAAUACCUUCGAAGGUAGAAUAUAAUGUCGAAUGGCCAACUUUAUUAUUUGUAAUAUGAUACUCUUACCUUCAUAUGAUAUCAACUUGAGAUUUCUUCACACACGGCGCGCCGGGCGAUUUCCAAAAUGCGCUCAACAACCCCCAUUUCAAGUUAAGCAGCGGCUUUGUCUUUGGGAAGCCGGAUUUCGCCGACGAUGC
This 1646-nucleotide long non-coding RNA is filed under the name Micromonas commoda. RNAcentral describes it as "long non-coding RNA (MCOM_LNC000037)". The record is from RNAcentral. Lineage: Eukaryota; Viridiplantae; Chlorophyta; Mamiellophyceae; Mamiellales; Mamiellaceae.